GCCGGUGUAGCUCAGUCGGAAGAGCAACGCACUCGUAAUGCGUAGGUCGGUGGUUCGAGUCCACUCACCGGCACCA
This 76-nucleotide transfer RNA is filed under the name Chromohalobacter sp. Its description in RNAcentral is "tRNA-Thr". It matches the Rfam family "tRNA". Rfam says of the family: Transfer RNA (tRNA) molecules are approximately 80 nucleotides in length. Their secondary structure includes four short double-helical elements and three loops (D, anti-codon, and T loops). Further hydrogen bonds mediate the characteristic L-shaped molecular structure. tRNAs have two regions of fundamental functional importance: the anti-codon, which is responsible for specific mRNA codon recognition, and the 3' end, to which the tRNAs corresponding amino acid is attached (by aminoacyl-tRNA synthetases). tRNAs cope with the degeneracy of the genetic code in two manners: having more than one tRNA (with a specific anti-codon) for a particular amino acid; and 'wobble' base-pairing, i.e. permitting non-standard base-pairing at the 3rd anti-codon position. RNAcentral also lists the same sequence under 2 other names. Lineage: Bacteria; Pseudomonadati; Pseudomonadota; Gammaproteobacteria; Oceanospirillales; Halomonadaceae. The record is from RNAcentral.